CCUACGGGUGGCUGCAGUGGGGAAUAUUGGACAAUGGGCGAAAGCCUGAUCCAGCCAUGCCGCGUGUGUGAAGAAGGCCUUCGGGUUGUAAAGCACUUUCAGUGGGGAAGAAAGCCUUGGGGCUAAUACCCUCGAGGAAGGACAUCACCCACAGAAGAAGCACCGGCUAACUCCGUGCCAGCAGCCGCGGUAAUACGGAGGGUGCGAGCGUUAAUCGGAAUUACUGGGCGUAAAGCGCGCGUAGGCGGUCUGAUAAGCCGGUUGUGAAAGCCCCGGGCUCAACCUGGGAACGGCAUCCGGAACUGUCCGGCUAGAGUGCAGGAGAGGAAGGUAGAAUUCCCGGUGUAGCGGUGAAAUGCGUAGAGAUCGGGAGGAAUACCAGUGGCGAAGGCGGCCUUCUGGACUGACACUGACGCUGAGGUGCGAAAGCGUGGGUAGCAAACAGGAUUAGAUACCCUGGUAGUC
Molecule: ribosomal RNA, 465 nt
Filed under: Vreelandella stevensii
Lineage: Bacteria; Pseudomonadati; Pseudomonadota; Gammaproteobacteria; Oceanospirillales; Halomonadaceae
Description: partial 16S ribosomal RNA
Rfam family: Bacterial small subunit ribosomal RNA
Source: RNAcentral